GACGAACGCUGCGGCGUCCUUAUACAUGCAAGUGGGACGCAAGGGAACACACUGUGCUUGCACACCCGUGUUUCUUGAGUCGCGAACGGGUGAGUAACGCGUAGGUAACCUGCCUAUUAGCGGGGGAUAACUAUUGGAAACGAUAGCUAAUACCGCAUAAUAUUAAUUAUUGCAUGAUAAUUGAUUGAAAGAUGCAAGCGCAUCACUAGUAGAUGGACCUGCGUUGUAUUAGCUAGUUGGUAAGGUAAGAGCUUACCAAGGCGACGAUACAUAGCCGACCUGAGAGGGUGAUCGGCCACACUGGGACUGAGACACGGCCCAGACUCCUACGGGAGGCAGCAGUAGGGAAUCUUCGGCAAUGGACGAAAGUCUGACCGAGCAACGCCGCGUGAGUGAAGAAGGUUUUCGGAUCGUAAAGCUCUGUUGUAAGUCAAGAACGUGUGUGAGAGUGGAAAGUUCACACAGUGACGGUAGCUUACCAGAAAGGGCG
This 490-nucleotide ribosomal RNA is filed under the name Streptococcus mutans. RNAcentral's name for it is "bacterial SSU rRNA". It matches the Rfam family "Bacterial small subunit ribosomal RNA", at positions 28 to 494 of the family's 1533-position model. The record is from RNAcentral. Lineage: Bacteria; Bacillati; Bacillota; Bacilli; Lactobacillales; Streptococcaceae.